RNAcentral lists this ribosomal RNA (402 nucleotides) under uncultured bacterium. RNAcentral describes it as "bacterial SSU rRNA". It matches the Rfam family "Bacterial small subunit ribosomal RNA", at positions 355 to 774 of the family's 1533-position model. The record is from RNAcentral.
UGGGGAAUAUUGCACAAUGGGGGAAACCCUGAUGCAGCGACGCCGCGUGAGCGAAGAAGUAUUUCGGUAUGUAAAGCUCUAUCAGCAGGGAAGAAAGUGACGGUACCUGACUAAGAAGCCCCGGCUAACUACGUGCCAGCAGCCGCGGUAAUACGUAGGGGGCAAGCGUUAUCCGGAUUUACUGGGUGUAAAGGGAGCGUAGACGGCAAUGCAAGUCUGGAGUGAAAACCCGGGGCUUAACCCCGGGACUGCUUUGGAAACUGUGUAGCUUGAGUACCGGAGGGGUAAGCGGAAUUCCUAGUGUAGCGGUGAAAUGCGUAGAUAUUAGGAGGAACACCAGUGGCGAAGGCGGCUUACUGGACGGUAACUGACGUUGAGGCUCGAAAGCGUGGGGAGCAAACA